This 294-nucleotide ribosomal RNA is filed under the name Triticum aestivum (bread wheat). Its description in RNAcentral is "partial small subunit ribosomal RNA". The record is from RNAcentral. Lineage: Eukaryota; Viridiplantae; Streptophyta; Magnoliopsida; Poales; Poaceae.
AUGGAAGGAACGCCGUCGGGAUCGGGCACCAAAACAACUGAUCUGGAGGCGAUGAUGGAGGAGCUGGGUCCGAAGGAAGAGGAUCUCCAAGAUGUAGUAGUGGAAGAUGAGGAAAUCCCGGAAGAGGCCACCAGAUGGAUGGCGAUCGCCAGAGUCCACACGGAGAGAACCUACAGUCAGUAUUGGUUUUUCAAGAACAUGCGCUCUGCAUGGGAUCUGGCGAAGGACGUGAAAAUCAGACCAUUGGAAGAUAACCUCUACACCUUGCAAUUCGGUUGCCUGGGCGACUGGGAA